RNAcentral lists this long non-coding RNA (1774 nucleotides) under Mus musculus (house mouse). RNAcentral describes it as "long non-coding RNA chr8:4399237-4401011". The record is from RNAcentral. Lineage: Eukaryota; Metazoa; Chordata; Mammalia; Rodentia; Muridae.
GACUUGUCUUAAGAUGUGAAAAUCUUGACUUGGGAGGUGGCUCAGAGAGUACAUGUACUUGCCACCGAGCUUAAUAGCCCGAGUUUGAUCCUCAAACCCCACAUGGUGGAAAGAGAAUUCACUCCUGCAAGUCGCCCUCUGACUUCUGCAUGCUCUGUAGCAUUAGUACAUACACAUAAAGGCAUAUAUUUCAUCGUUUUGUAGCUUGGUAUUCUUGUGGGACUCUUAACAGAGGGAGUGGGGUCUGUCUCUGAAGCUUUUGCCUGCUUUUGGGAUCCCCACCCCUUUUUCCUACUGGGUUGCCUUGACCAGUCUUAAUAUGAAUGGAUAUGCCUAGUCUUACUGCAACGUGGUAUCCCAUGUUUGGUUGAUAUCCCUAGGAGGCCUUCAUAGAAACAUAGAAAACAGAAAAAACAAAAACAAAAACAAAACCCCAAACCCAAAAGCAAAACAAACAAAGAAAACCUUUCAAGAGUCAGCUGGGAGGUCGUUUCCCCAGAAAACCCUCUUUGACCCCAUGAUUCCUGACCUCUCUGACCUUCAGAUCCCCCUUAUUAUGGCAAUUAAUCCCAAGGUUAGUGUUUUCUUCUUCCUAUUCCCAGACCAACACCAGCUUUUCCAAAGUAGGACUCACCAUGGUGCCUCACUCUUUGCCAAUGAGUAACAGCUGCUAUGCAGAGUGGAUAAGCAAAAGAAAGUCAUUGUUCUCAGACUUCCCUGGGAGUAGCAAAGGAGCCAGCUAUCUGCCCAGAAUCCAGCCAUCUCUUGUUCACUGCCUAUUUUCCUCCCCAAGUUCUUCUCAGUACCUCUCUCACACCAAGGCCCCGUGAAUCCAUAUACACAUGCACAGAGGUUUGGCCUGAUACAGCGACUUCUGUUACAGUGUUUGUGGACAGAUAGGGGAGGAUGACUGAAGGUUUCCUAGAAGCAGAGGAGGUUGGAACCUAAGUAAGCCUUUCUUUAUCCGGAGAUACCCACCAACUGGAUAAUGUGGGGAAGCUUAGUCAGUAAAGGGCUUUGUCGUGUAAACAUGGGGAUCUAAGUUCAGAUUCUUGGCACCCAUGCCAAAACUACAAGCAAUGGUCUCUGUGAGUUCAUAGCUAGGGAGCCAGAGACAGGUGGGUCUCUGAAAGCUCACUGACUAGGUAUCCUAUCUGAAUAGAUGAGCUCCAGGUUCAAUGAGAGACCCUGUCUCAAAAAAUAAAGUGGAGAACAACUGGUGGAAAUACCUAACAUCGAUCUCUGGCCUCCACAGGCACAUAUCCACGCAUUCUUGCACAUCUGCACAAACUACCCCCUAAACAACACACACACACACACACACACACACACACACACAUCCACUCACACAGAGACUGUACAAUGAGCUUGUCACCUCUGAUCUUUGAUCUUAGAUGAAUUGUCAUGGAGAGUGGGAAAGGGAUGAAGGGACCCACCAUCUGGGAUUCCAAUGUGUAAGUGAGGGCAGCAAUCCAGGUACUCAUGUUGUCCACACACAGUGCCUAUACAGCCUUUCUGGCAUUAAAAGAUCCUGACAGAGAGUAAAACAUUAUUUAAGCCCCUAGACCUGUGUCCAAAAUAGCCCCAUUGUUCCAAGAUGUCAGGAGUUUGCAGUUUUUUGCCUUUAUAGCCCAAUGGCAGGUGUUUGUGGUUUGUGUGUCUACAUAAACCCCUUACCCCUUGAGCUCAUCGUCGACUCCUCUACCCCUGCGUGGGAUACAAGUUGUCCCCAGUGCACUGGUCUUUCCUGAAUAAACCUCUUGCAGUUUGCAUC